Molecule: ribosomal RNA, 499 nt
Filed under: uncultured bacterium
Lineage: Bacteria
Description: partial 16S ribosomal RNA
Rfam family: Bacterial small subunit ribosomal RNA
Source: RNAcentral
GAUGAACGCUGGCGGCGUGCCUAAUACAUGCAAGUCGAGCGAACAGACGAGAGUUCUUGCACUCUCUGACGUUAGCGGCGGACGGGUGAGUAACACGUGGGUAACCUACCUAUAAGACUGGGAUAACUUCGGGAAACCGGAGCUAAUACCGGAUAAUAUUUAGCUUCGCAUGAAGCAAUAGUGAAAGACGGUUCUGCUGUCACUUAUAGAUGGACCCGCGGUGUAUUAGUUAGUUGGUGAGGUAACGGCUCACCAAGGCAACGAUACAUAGCCGACCUGAGAGGGUGAUCGGCCACACUGGAACUGAGACACGGCCCAGACUCCUACGGGAGGCAGCAGUAGGGAGUCUACCGCAAUAGACGAAAGUCUGACGGAGCAAUGCCGCGUGAGUGAAGAAGGUUUUCGGAUCUUAAAACUCUGUUGUAAGGGAAGAACAAGUACGUUAGUAACUGAACGUACCUUGACGGUACCUUACCAGAAAGCAACGGCUAACUACGUG